UACAGAGGGUGCGAGCGUUUGUCCGGAAUCACUGGGCGUAAAGGGCGCGUAGGUGGUGGCUUAAGCGUGCGGUGAAAGCUCGGAGCUCAACUCCGAGUCGGCCGUGCGAACUGGGCUCACUGGAGCAUAGUAGAGGCAGGUGGAAUUCCGGGGUGUAGCGGUGGAAUGCGUAGAGAUCCGGAAGAACACCGGUGGCGAAGGCGGCCUGCUGGGCUAUGGGCUGACACUGAGGCGCGACAGCGUGGGGGAGCAAACAGG
RNAcentral lists this ribosomal RNA (258 nucleotides) under uncultured bacterium. Its description in RNAcentral is "partial 16S ribosomal RNA". It matches the Rfam family "Bacterial small subunit ribosomal RNA", at positions 524 to 776 of the family's 1533-position model. The record is from RNAcentral.